GAACGAGAAAGUGGAGCAAUCCAUGAGUACAGUGGCGACCGGGUGAGUAACACGUGACCAACCUGCCCUCGAGUGGGGAAUAACUCCGGGAAACCGGAGCUAAUACCGCAUAACAUCGCAAGAUCAAAGCCGCAAGGCGCUUGAGGAGGGGGUCGCGGCUGAUUAGCUAGUUGGUAGGGUAAUGGCCUACCAAGGCGAAGAUCGGUAUCCGGCCUGAGAGGGCGCACGGACACACUGGAACUGAAACACGGUCCAGACUCCUACGGGAGGCAGCAGUGGGGAAUUUUGCGCAAUGGGGGAAACCCUGACGCAGCAACGCCGCGUGGAGGAUGAAGCCCUUUGGGGCGUAAACUCCUUUCGACCAAGACGAUAAUGACGGUAUUGGUGGAAGAAGCACCGGCUAACUAUGUGCCAGCAGCCGCGGUAAU
Molecule: ribosomal RNA, 428 nt
Filed under: uncultured bacterium
Lineage: Bacteria
Description: bacterial SSU rRNA
Rfam family: Bacterial small subunit ribosomal RNA
Source: RNAcentral